This is a long non-coding RNA of Mus caroli (Ryukyu mouse), 695 nucleotides long. RefSeq lists it as uncharacterized. The record is from RefSeq and is a predicted model, not a curated record. NCBI's taxonomy places the organism in Eukaryota, Metazoa, Chordata, Mammalia, Rodentia, Muridae.
CUGACCUCUGCAGUCAUAUCCCACAUGAUAUUAUGCUCCCAUGUCAUGGAGGAGGUAUGGGACAGGGCAACAGAGGCCGAGAUUGUGGGACCUUAGGGGCAGUGGAAACUCUCCACCUCUCUACACACACACAGCAAGGCCUUCUGGGAUUCCUAUGGCACUGUCAAGGCUGGAGGCAGGGUGGACUGAGGAUCAAGACCUGGAUAAACUCAUCACAGUGGACUUAGAGGUAGUGUUGGGGACAUCAGACCUGCCCUUCCUUCCUGAGAACAGGUGGUUCUACCAGGUGAAGAGUACCCACUGGUGCCAUCCUGGCUAGAACCCUGAGAAUCAGCUCUGAACCUGACCAGUCAACUCUCAGGCCAUGGAGUCUGGUCCUCUCUCCACACCCACAGCUUUUAGUUUGUCCUUCAUCCUUCUUUUGAAAACUCCAGCCUCAGGACCAGGCCAUCUGUGCCUUAUGCCGCCCCCCUCCCCAAGUAUCUUCAGUGGACAUCAAAAGGUUUCUCCCAACCCCUGAGAGUCUGGAAAGAAGAGCACGAGGCCUUGGGGGCAGCAUUCAAAGCCUUCCACACUACCCCCACCAUCUCUAGUCAUCUCUGUCUAAACCUGCUCUGUUCAGCAUGACAGCCAUCAGCUCCGUGUGGCUAUUUACACUGCAAUGGGUCAAAAAUGAAAUGAAGUGGAAAAUUCAA